GUAGAGAAGUUGGAAUUAAGGCUAGCUUCCUCCUAACUCCUUCUCAAGGCUCCAAUUGUGGCAAGCUGCCAGGGCUGAUAGCUUGACUUUGCAGAUUACAUGAAAGAAAUAUGCAACCCUCCAUCCUACCAGUCUUUGAACUUCUGCAAAGGAGGGAAGAUAAAACCUGUACAGGGAGUAGCCAAAGCCUGGAAUUCUACUGAAAACAAAUAGGGUAGUACAGUUAAUUAAAACUGCUGGCUGGCUGGGUUGCUUACAUGUUAUGACUCAAAGUCGACCAGCAUUCGAACGGAGUGCCUUGAUGAGGCCUUAACGAAGCGUGGAGAUGAGGACCCCCAGCAAAAGAUCCCAAGGAGAAGAAUUCUCCGACAGUACCACACAGAGAGUAAACCCUCCAACAAUAUCUGAAGGUUACAGAUCACCACAAACUAGCAAUGCUCUUAACAGAUAUUUGCAUAUGGAAAAACAACUGAGUCUGAUG
This is a long non-coding RNA of Rhineura floridana, 481 nucleotides long. RefSeq lists it as uncharacterized. NCBI's taxonomy places the organism in Eukaryota, Metazoa, Chordata, Lepidosauria, Squamata, Rhineuridae. The record is from RefSeq and is a predicted model, not a curated record. The transcript is spliced from 3 exons.